GGGGAAUAUUGGACAAUGGGCGAAAGCCUGAUCCAGCAAUGCCGCGUGAGUGAUGUAGGCCUUAGGGUUGUAAAGCUCUUUUACCAGGGAUGAUAAUGACAGUACCUGGAGAAUAAGCCCCGGCUAACUCCGUGCCAGCAGCCGCGGUAAUACGGAGGGGGCUAGCGUUGUUCGGAAUUACUGGGCGUAAAGCGCACGUAGGCGGAUUCUUAAGUCAGGGGUGAAAUCCCGAGGCUCAACCUCGGAACUGCCUUUGAUACUGGGAAUCUUGAGUGUGGUAGAGGUUGGUGGAACAGCAAGUGUAGAGGUGAAAUUCGUAGAUAUUUGCUAGAACACCAGUGGCGAAGGCGGCCAACUGGACCAUAACUGACGCUGAGGUGCGAAAGCGUGGGGAGCAAA
This 399-nucleotide ribosomal RNA is filed under the name uncultured bacterium. RNAcentral's name for it is "bacterial SSU rRNA". It matches the Rfam family "Bacterial small subunit ribosomal RNA", at positions 356 to 772 of the family's 1533-position model. The record is from RNAcentral.